Molecule: long non-coding RNA, 1044 nt
Filed under: Canis lupus familiaris (dog)
Lineage: Eukaryota; Metazoa; Chordata; Mammalia; Carnivora; Canidae
Description: lncRNA (ENSCAFG00040023428.1)
Source: RNAcentral
GGUCACACAAAGCAAACCAAAUCUCACACUCGGCGUCCGGACGGCCCCGGCGGCCCCGGCCCACCCCCACCCCCACCCCGAGGCCAGAUUCGGCCGGGGGACGCGCACGUACCUGGACGAGAGGCCGGCAGGGUGGGCGCGCCACGUCUCGGGGCUCGGCCCGCGCAGCCUGCGGCCUUUAUAGCGCGCCCUCCCCCGCCCCCUCCCCCUCCCCGACAGCCACGUCGGAGCGGCCGGAGGCGGGGGCCCGGGAGCCACCGACGGUCUGAGGGCCCGGGAGAGGGAGUCACCGAAAGUAACGCUCGGGCGCGCGCGCGCGAGGGAAGGAGCCGUGGGGCUCCUGGGGCGCAGAGGGGCCCCCGGGCGCGGAGGGGGUCCCGGGCCGGGAAGGGCAGGGUCGGGGGCGGGGCCCCGGGAGGUCAGGCGCCGGGUGGGGCGCUCGGGUUUCACCCGGGCAGGCAGGAGGGGAGGAGGCGCGGCCGAGGGGCGGGGCGGGGGCGGGCCGAGGGCGGGGCGGGGGCGGGGCGAGGGCGGGCCGGGCCGGGCCGGGGCGGGGCGAAGCGGCCCCGCGCUCCCCGCCCGCGCUCCCCGCCCGCGCUCCGCGCUCCGCGCUCGGCUCUACUCGCCGGGAAGGCGGCGCCGGCGGCGGCUGCUCUCGCUGCGCCCGCUCCCGCGCGCUGUCCUCCCGCCGCGGGUGGGCUCCGCAGCCCCCUGCCAGCCGCGGCCGUGCCCGGUGCCCGCUCUCCGCCUCCGCCUGCCCUGCGCAGGGGCGGCCCGGCCCGCGUGGCCCUUCCCGGGGGCUCCCCGCUCCUACCCGAGGCUCCGCUGCGGGGCUGGCUCCGGCACCCAACUUUGCCUUUCCUCGUCGGUCGCCCCCGCCGGGCGCGACCCUGCUCACCCCCGGCCCGGCCGCGCGCCCGGGGACGGUGCGCCCCGCGCGCACAGCGACGUCCCCAGCCCGGAGCGCCGCGAGCGGUGGGCGGCCCCGGGGAAGGGGCCGGGGGCGGCGGCGGCCGCUGCCUCGACUUCCCUCGCGGGCGCUGA